Long non-coding RNA from Rhopalosiphum maidis (corn leaf aphid), 354 nucleotides. RefSeq lists it as uncharacterized. The record is from RefSeq and is a predicted model, not a curated record. NCBI's taxonomy places the organism in Eukaryota, Metazoa, Arthropoda, Insecta, Hemiptera, Aphididae. The transcript is spliced from 3 exons.
AACGCGUCCGCGCCGGAAUCAUCACCGUCGUACAACGCCAUCACCGUCGUCGAACAUAUUUUAUACAAUGCGCACCUUCGAUUUAAUUAUCAGUGAAUUUGAUGGAUUGCUACAGGUUUCCAAUGAAUAUCCUACUAUAUGGUGGUAAUUAUUCCCUAGCGGUGUUAUUGUAUUCGUAUACCUAUUUGGGUUUCAGAAGCCACACGUUUCGUUAUGGAGCUUGAUACUAGUCACUAGAUUUGUCGAAUAAACGUUCGGGAAUCCUGCAGAACACCGAAUACAUUGAUACAUAUAUGAAUAACAAUACAUAAGUAUUAUAUGAUCGUGCUUCGUCUAACGGCUGAGCCACAGAGG